RNAcentral lists this small nuclear RNA (105 nucleotides) under Rhodnius prolixus. Lineage: Eukaryota; Metazoa; Arthropoda; Insecta; Hemiptera; Reduviidae. The record is from RNAcentral.
UCUCGCUUCGGCGGUACAUAUACUAAAAUUGGAACAAUACAGAGAAGAUUAGCAUGGCCUCUGCGCAUGCAUGACAAAGGUUGCCACGGUAGCCGAGCGGUUAUA